UACGAAGGGGGGCUAGCGUUGCUCGGAAUGACUGGGCGUAAAGGGCGCGUAGGCGGCUCAUACAGUCAGGCGUGAAAAUUCCUGGGCUCAACCUGGGGACUGCGCUUGAGACGUGUGGGCUUGAGUGGGGAAGAGGGUCGUGGAAUUCCCAGUGUAGAGGUGAAAUUCGUAGAUAUUGGGAAGAACACCGGUGGCGAAGGCGGCGACCUGGUCCUUGACUGACGCUGAGGCGCGAAAGCGUGGGGAGCAAACAGG
This 255-nucleotide ribosomal RNA is filed under the name uncultured bacterium. RNAcentral describes it as "partial 16S ribosomal RNA". It matches the Rfam family "Bacterial small subunit ribosomal RNA", at positions 524 to 776 of the family's 1533-position model. The record is from RNAcentral.